UACAGAGGUCCCAAGCGUUGUCCGGAGUUACUGGGCGUAAAGGGCAUGCAGGCGGUCGGACGCGUUUUGUGUGACAGCGGAUGGCUUACCUAUCCGAGCAUACGAAAGACGGUUGGACUUGAGGACUCGAGAGGGACACGGAAUUCCGGGUGGAGUGGUGAAAUGCGUAGAGAUCCGGAGGAACACCGAAGGCGAAGGCAGUGUCCUGGCGAGUGACUGACGCUGAGGUGCGAAAGCCAGGGGAGCGAACGGG
Molecule: ribosomal RNA, 253 nt
Filed under: uncultured bacterium
Lineage: Bacteria
Description: partial 16S ribosomal RNA
Rfam family: Bacterial small subunit ribosomal RNA
Source: RNAcentral